AGAGUUUGAUCAUGGCUCAGGACGAACGCUGGCGGCGUGCUUAACACAUGCAAGUCGAACGGAAAGGCCCUUCGGGGUACUCGAGUGGCGAACGGGUGAGUAACACGUGGGUGAUCUGCCCUGCACUCUGGGAUAAGCCUGGGAAACUGGGUCUAAUACCGGAUAGGACCGCAUGCUUCAUGGUGUGUGGUGCAAAGCUUUUGCGGUGUGGGAUGAGCCCGCGGCCUAUCAGCUUGUUGGUGGGGUAAUGGCCUACCAAGGCGACGACGGGUAGCCGGCCUGAGAGGGUGACCGGCCACACUGGGACUGAGAUACGGCCCAGACUCCUACGGGAGGCAGCAGUGGGGAAUAUUGCACAAUGGGCGCAAGCCUGAUGCAGCGACGCCGCGUGAGGGAUGACGGCCUUCGGGUUGUAAACCUCUUUCGAUAGGGACGAAGCGCAAGUGACGGUACCUAUAGAAGAAGGACCGGCCAACUACGUGCCAGCAGCCGCGGUAAUACGUAGGGUCCGAGCGUUGUCCGGAAUUACUGGGCGUAAAGAGCUCGUAGGUGGUUUGUCGCGUUGUUCGUGAAAACUCACAGCUUAACUGUGGGCGUGCGGGCGAUACGGGCAGACUAGAGUACUGCAGGGGAGACUGGAAUUCCUGGUGUAGCGGUGGAAUGCGCAGAUAUCAGGAGGAACACCGGUGGCGAAGGCGGGUCUCUGGGCAGUAACUGACGCUGAGGAGCGAAAGCGUGGGUAGCGAACAGGAUUAGAUACCCUGGUAGUCCAA
Molecule: ribosomal RNA, 773 nt
Filed under: uncultured bacterium
Lineage: Bacteria
Description: bacterial SSU rRNA
Rfam family: Bacterial small subunit ribosomal RNA
Source: RNAcentral